CACACAUCCGACCCUACUUAACGCCAGAUGCGACUAAGGUGCUGGUCCAUUCCACUGUCCUUUCUCGCCUUGACUACUGUAAUCCGCUUCUCAGUGAUCUUAUGUGCUCCUAACUUGCGCAGUUACAGUCCAUAAUGAAUGCGGCGGCGAGGUUCAUCUUCCUGUCCGCCUGCACCUCCCACGCCUCACCCUUCUGUCAGUCCC
Non-coding RNA from Pelobates cultripes (western spadefoot toad), 204 nucleotides. Lineage: Eukaryota; Metazoa; Chordata; Amphibia; Anura; Pelobatidae. The record is from the annotation of a GenBank genome assembly.